GAUGAACGCUGGCGGCGUGCCUAAUACAUGCAAGUCGAGCGAACAGACGAGGAGCUUGCUCCUCUGACGUUAGCGGCGGACGGGUGAGUAACACGUGGAUAACCUACCUAUUUGACUGGGAUAACGUCGGGAAACCGGAGCUAAGACCGGAUAAUAUAUUGAACCGCAUGGUCCAAUAGUGACAGACGGGUUGGCUGUUACUUAUGCAUGGAGCCGCGCCGCUGUAGGUAGUUGGGAAGGUAACGGCUUACCAAGGGAACGAUGCGUAGCCGACGUGAGAGGGUGAUCGGCCAGACGAGAACUGAGACACGCACCAGACUCCUACGGCAGGCAGCAGUCGGGAAUCUUCCGCAAUGGGCGAAAGCCUGACACAGCAACGCAGCGUGAGUGACGACGGCCUUCGGAUCGUGAAGCUCUGUUAUUAGGGAAGAACCAAUGUGAGCGUAGAUAUGCACGUCGUGACGGUACCUAAACAGAAAGCCACGGCUAACUACGUG
Molecule: ribosomal RNA, 497 nt
Filed under: uncultured bacterium
Lineage: Bacteria
Description: partial 16S ribosomal RNA
Rfam family: Bacterial small subunit ribosomal RNA
Source: RNAcentral